UAAAAAUUAAUAAGUACUGAAUAUUUUGGUCUAUGGAUGUGGUGUCGAUUCGAGCCCAAAGACUGAAUGGAGGUUUUACAUAAGUCCCCGGUCAGCAAACUUGAUCAUUUCCUCCAUUUUAGUUGUUUACAUUUUUAAAUAAACCAUUUUGAGUUACACUGCGCACGAUUAACGAUUCCAGGUGGUGAAAAUGUGCAGGUGCAUCACUGCAUGCAUGGUGCGACAUUCGCGCUCGUUCGACGGAGAACUGUGGUGUCGUCUUCAUCAUUCGAAACGGUGCUCAAACAUGUGCUUUCGUAGCUGAGUUACUCUAGAUGCUCUCAAUCUGUGGCAUAUAUCAUGAUUAAAUAACCAUUCUCUGAUUACCUCAAGGCAUAAUUUGGUUUGUGUUCAGGCGAUAAUACUGUGCAUCAGAUAAAACUGGCAUCAUUAUUUAGUGCUCAUGAAUGCGCGAGCUUUUCAGAGAUCAACGGAUAUUUAUACUUUAUGGCGGCGUCUUUAUGCAUACUAUUUUCCACGCCGUAACUGAGAUGCACUCUGCGAUGGUGCAUGCCACAUCUUGAUUGGGGCCUUGCGCGCCUUUCCAGUGCGAAAUUUGCUGGAGUACAGUGGCAUAGACAGUCGUUUGAUAAGAUCCUGUGCGGAGCAUGUGGAAAAAACAAUGCGCGGAGAAAGGCGGAGUAUUCCGUAUUCCGUAGCGGGGCGCUUAAAGAAAGUCUAAGCACCUUAGCGCAAGCAGCAUUCUGAUUGAUGACAAAGCAGUGUUACUAUGUCCCAGUGGCACCAGAAAAGAGCGGGCACGCCCGGAGGAUGUUGACUGCAACGACUUUCUCACGUGAAUUACAACGCCAUUUAAAAAGGUCAAGCGUUUUGUUCUUCAGCACCGUUACGCAUUGUGCCAAGUGGUUUGACUGCAAGAUACGGCCACUGGAUCGGUUGGAACUAUCGCUGAUCCAGCGCAACCAUACAGCCUCCAUGCCCGAGUUUGGAUGCCAAGCCGUGUAUGCAAUUUAAGCUUAAUAAAUCGUGUAUGCCUGUGGAUCGAAAUGAAUGGUAUUGAGUAUCGACGACUCCUUCAGUAACAGUGUUGCCGAUGACUGAAGCAAGUGACCGACAUUUAGUAUGCAGGAUGAAAAUACUAAAUCACAUUAAAUUCUCAUCGUCACAAGGUCCCGCACACUGCCGAAGUACAACCCGUAUAAGUCCCGUACAGUGCCGACACCGCAUACUGCCGAAGUACAACCGAUAUUCCAAGCGGCUGACUUCAACCUACACUUUAGGCGCGAGAACCGCCUACAGCUUUGCCGGUGGACUGUCGGACAGGACGGUGAUGUUUACCCGCCGGGAUGUUUAUCUGUACGGGGUCCCUCCUUCGUGCAUGUUAUGCGAUCGAUCGGCGGUGUGCAGCAGAGAUGAUCUUCUUGAAAUUAGAGACCAGUGGAAUAAAUAGGGGAAAGUGGCGGAAUCAGAGAAGAAGAAACCGUCAGUGACGCGAACCGUUCUCCAUGCAGAUUGAUCAAAAGCCGCACUGGUCAUGUGUGUCGGCUGUGAUGAACAUGAACUUAUAAAGAUGACGCUGGAAAUUAUAAAGAUGACAAACCAGGCCACCAGCUUAGUUAAAGUGUUAGCCUAUUAGUGCUCUUAUGCUACAGUAUGUAGCGGACUUUUAUUUCUCGGUCUUGCUUUCUGUAUUGGUGGUGGUUCUCGAAAAAGAGCUGACUGCGAUUAGGAAAUAUUACAUGGCUGAUUUUCAGUCGUAAGAUAUUAAUCAGUUUGCGUUGCCCAAUAAGUGGAAUAAAAAAU
Molecule: long non-coding RNA, 1803 nt
Organism: Paramacrobiotus metropolitanus
Lineage: Eukaryota; Metazoa; Tardigrada; Eutardigrada; Parachela; Macrobiotidae
Exons: 3
Source: RefSeq, a predicted model, not a curated record